CUCGGGAAAUAGUUAGUUUUGUUUUCCCUCGAAUCUCAAUGUUGAGAUUCUCGGGAAAACAAAAACAUUGAGAUUCUCGGGAAAACAAAACUAACUAUUUCCCUC
RNAcentral lists this microRNA precursor (105 nucleotides) under Paramuricea clavata. The record is from RNAcentral. Lineage: Eukaryota; Metazoa; Cnidaria; Anthozoa; Malacalcyonacea; Plexauridae.